Molecule: transfer RNA, 73 nt
Filed under: bacterium HR34
Lineage: Bacteria
Description: tRNA-His
Rfam family: tRNA
About the family: Transfer RNA (tRNA) molecules are approximately 80 nucleotides in length. Their secondary structure includes four short double-helical elements and three loops (D, anti-codon, and T loops).
Source: RNAcentral
GCGGCCGUAGCUUAAAGGUAAAGCAUCAGGCUGUGGCCCUGAGGACUACGGGUUCGAGUCCCGUCGGCCGCCC